Varroa destructor (honeybee mite) is the source of this 3062-nucleotide long non-coding RNA. RefSeq lists it as uncharacterized. The record is from RefSeq and is a predicted model, not a curated record. NCBI's taxonomy places the organism in Eukaryota, Metazoa, Arthropoda, Arachnida, Mesostigmata, Varroidae.
UUGAACAAAGUAGUGCGACGAGAAGGCGUCUGUCUUUGGCUAUGGCCAAUUUGCCAGCGAAUGCUCGAAUGCUAAAGAACAACGGAACCACAUUAUACUAGCGUCCUGUGCGGGUCUCUCGUCGUCCAGGACCAAGUCACUGCCGGCCGUGAGCCUGAUUUUGUUGCGGACAAAGAAAAAGGCACAGCCGCACCGGCAGGCUCGUGUGUUUGGCGAGCAAACACCACGUCUGGAUGUCACAAUGAUGCCUUUCUUCUGUAUGUGAAGAAAUUUUGCAGUUUUCCUUAAACUACUAUUAGCACCAUUGCUACAAAUCUAGCUAAUGAAGCAGGCCAGUGAAAAAAUGCCUCGCUCGUCUAGUUUCGUAUGCCCCAAGCCUCGCCGCUAUCCCAAGAAGCAGAUGACACGAAAUCGAUGUUAACAGACGUGUUAGUCAACAGAUUUAACGGGGCUGCGCAUUUAUCGUAUGCGUCAGGUUUAAGAAAGGAUAAAAGAAAACAUUCUUUUAUGGAAUAAAUGCAAGCUGAAACAAUAGGACCAGAUUCAGGCUAAUUUAUUCUUUGAACUGUUACGAUGUUCUUCUCGGUGCGAUAUAGGACAACUGUCGGUAGACGUAUGCGACCUAUUACACAUGUAUUUGACAAUGUGUCACGUUCCUAAAUAUGCUAGCGAACGAAAAAGAAGCUAAGUACUGACACAGGUGUAGUCGAUAGGACCAAGCGCAACAUUACAAUCAUACGAUUCCUAGGGUGACAUCUGGGACGCUCACCCCAUAGCAUGUUCAAAGCACAAAGUAGACAAUAACGAAGCACACCCUUAGUCAACCGCAAAGCGACGAGACGUGUUUGAGCUUGUUCUCAGCUACCUACUACGACCUACCGAUGCCUAUCUGAGAAAUUAACGUGUAAAAUUUGUCUAAUAACCCUUAUAGGAUGUGAAGCUAGGCACGUCCUGAAAUCCCUGAUCUUUUUUCGCUUACGUAGGGCACGGCCUGAAAUGGAACACAGUUCCACGUAUGCGUCUGCACCAGUUGGUACGAAUUCUGCUAUAGCUAUUUGUCGUAAUCAGCUCAUUGCUUAACUGUUCGUAAACACUAGUGUUCGAUCACUGCGUCACCGACUUCGCGCAGCGGGUAACACCAUUGUGUGUGCGCAUUGUUGCAAGCUAUAGAGCCCAUAUCCCCCGAGGAGGUUUUCGGGCAGUGAGUGUUGCACUUCGCGGCCUACAAAGGAUAGUAGCGGCGAUGGGUAUUGAACGGGUGCCGGCACACGACAUCGCCCGCGUCAAGCGAAUCGGCGAAAAAAAGCAGCAGCAGCAGCAAUAACAAUAACAGCCGCAGUGGAGAUUUCCUCGAUGGCCAGUUGAAGUCUGGUUACUGCCGAGUAGGUCUGGUGUAUAAUGCACAGGCAUAUCGAAGUGGGCGGUCCAUGCGACCCUAAUUUAUGAAAGACUGAUGCGUCGGUAGCCAUCGUCGGUAUCCCCGUUCAACGACGGAACGAGCCACGUGCUCAAAAAUAGGUUAGCCGCUGAAGCAGUAGCAGUAACAAAACCUGCAACAGCUGCCGCAGCAAUGGCAUCAGUGACGCCUGACGUGUCGUGGUGAGUGGCAGCAAGGAUCUAUAUAUAACUGUCGCUACUGGUAACACCCAGAACACCCGCGUCUGCACCUGAGCAAGGGUGCUACGAAACCAUGGUCUGACAGUAAAAUUUAGAAUGAACCCAACGAACGACAGCAUCAUCAUUCAAUAUUGUCGCUAGCCAAUACUAAGCGUUUUCCUGUCUAUAUACGUUUUAUCGUUACAACCGACAGGCGUUCUCGUGCUACUACGUUUUCUGUCUCGAGCGCCCUGGUCAUCUCCGAUGCCAGCUAGAGAAGGGAACACAUCGUGACUCGGGACCACGACAAGCCUUUUCGUCUUCGAUAUGGUCAUGAGGCUCGGCCAGACUUCAUCUCGUCGUCGAACUCAUCCCCUUCCCCUCCGGGGUUGACGACUUCAGAUCCUUCGUCAUCAGUCGGGGCCCGCUUCAGAGUACCCCGUUGUCCGCAGAAUGCAACCAGUCCAGUAGCAGCGGCUUCCGCAGCAGCAGGAGCGGCAUUGGAGCACCGAAAUGAAGGCGGCGUCGGCGGUUGACGCCGGCAACAUUCUCCGCCAGAAGCAGCAGCGCAAGGAUGAGUGAGGUGUGCAUGCUGCUCCAGCUGCUGCUGCUGCUGCUGCUGCUACUUCUGAUCGGUCGUAUUCGCUGCGACGCUGGCGGUUGAAGUCACCGCUCGCAGCUCCUGUGGCCAUUACUGGUACUUCCGAGGCAGCGAAUGAACAGAAUGAGCUGGCUCGGAACUCAAUGAGAAUCGGCUGGUUGAUUCGCUGUUGGUGGAAGAAAACGCUGCUGAUCCUUGACCCCUGGACCUUUUUCUUCAACCGACAGAAGUAGUAGUCGUCAUAGUAGUGCUAGCAGCAAACAACCCCCGCGAUGAGGCACGAUGAUCGUCGAUGUGUACGUUAGCGGCAAUAACGAUAGCAACGGCAAUAGCCACAAGCCUUCAGACAUGCUGGUUUGUUCAAUUGGCUUGUCCAACAAGACAGAACGACUGACUAAAGCAGACCACCAGUAGAACGCCAGUAUGGAAUGAAAUGGUCUAUAAGCGAUGUCUGUCGUAGCAUAGACAACUGCCGAUGAGAAACAACGCCAGCCAGCGAGACAAUCAGCAAGUCAGCCAAGCAAUUGCCGUCGCCAAUAGCUCUUGGUCAUCUUUUUCUUCUUUUACCACCAAAGCUAUGCCUGAACUCCAAUCUGUUACCUUUCCCUUUAUUUCUUCCCGCGCUCCUUACCGUCUCCUUGAUUCGGCUCCACGUCGCUGCCGAAGCCACUCCCCCACCGAUAAACGGCAACCGACGAUUACGCUCGUUCGAGAUACAAGUAAUGAUACCGAGCGGAUACGACGGAAUCGAGGACUUCAAACUGAACUUCUCAAUCUAUCCACUCGUUACCCUGUGGAUGGCUGAAAUAACUGUAAUAGCGCAGGGUACAGAUCUUCGUAAACGAACCGUUGAGAAAAAAAAAAA